AGAUUUUCUUGGAGAAAAAAAAUUUUGGAUUUGGCCGACGUAAACCAAUGAUUGAGAGAAGGCAUCUUAUAGAUGCUCGAGGACUUGAAUAUUCUCAGCUGCCAUGCCAUUAUAGUCGCUUGUCAAACACUAUAAUCUUUUCUGGCUCUACGUGCUACAAAAUUUUCGAUCGUUAGAAGUUUCAAGAUUAGACCAACUAUGGAGAAGAGAUCAUGAUCACAGCCGUAGAACUUUAGCAUUGCUAUCUCUAUCCUUGCUCAUAGCCAUCACCCAUUCACCCCAUAUCCGCUUGCAGAGAAACCACGACCAAUUCACUGGCUCACAAUUGUACCCAAUGGAGUGGACCACGAGACCCAUUUGUACGGUUCAAUUUCAUAUCUAACGUUGGAAAUUUGUCAUGCGACCUUCGCUAGGAGGCACUAGUGAAUUCUAUUAUUCCACGCACACUAUACUAACGCCACAACACGAAUUCUUUUAAAUCUCUU
RNAcentral lists this unclassified non-coding RNA (485 nucleotides) under Hevea brasiliensis (rubber tree). The record is from RNAcentral. Lineage: Eukaryota; Viridiplantae; Streptophyta; Magnoliopsida; Malpighiales; Euphorbiaceae.